ACAUAAGUAACGAUAAAGCGGGUGAAAAGCCCGCUCGCCGGAAGACCAAGGGUUCCUGUCCAACGUUAAUCGGGGCAGGGUGAGUCGACCCCUAAGGCGAGGCCGAAAGGCGUAGUCGAUGGGAAACGGGUUAAUAUUCCCGUACUUGGUGUUACUGCGAAGGGGGGACGGAGAAGGCUAUGUUGGCCGGGCGACGGUUGUCCCGGUUUAAGCGUGUAGGCUGGUUUUCCAGGCAAAUCCGGAAAAUCAAGGCUG
RNAcentral lists this ribosomal RNA (255 nucleotides) under Salmonella enterica subsp. enterica serovar Kentucky. RNAcentral's name for it is "partial 23S ribosomal RNA". It matches the Rfam family "Bacterial large subunit ribosomal RNA", at positions 1300 to 1558 of the family's 2925-position model. The record is from RNAcentral. Lineage: Bacteria; Pseudomonadati; Pseudomonadota; Gammaproteobacteria; Enterobacterales; Enterobacteriaceae.